This 611-nucleotide long non-coding RNA is filed under the name Fukomys damarensis (Damara mole-rat). RNAcentral describes it as "lncRNA (ENSFDAG00000029430.1)". The record is from RNAcentral. Lineage: Eukaryota; Metazoa; Chordata; Mammalia; Rodentia; Bathyergidae.
GAAGGAAGCAUGGAGAAUACCAAGACCAUUCCAGAUCAAGAGCCUGGCAUCCAAACUUCCCUCUUCAUUACACCUGUCCACUUCCGGCUAGUUCUGUUCUACUUUGUCGCUGUGCAGUCUUACUUCCAAGGAAGCGGAACUGGAACGAUACAGCCAAUGUAUUGUGAAGAGCACAGAGAGCGAUCGGACAUGCCACUUGGAUUAGUGCCGCCUACGGAAAGAGUUCCUGGGGUCUCCAACCUCCAGGCCUCGACAAAUGCAAGCCCAACAUUGCAGCAUUCGUUUCCCAUCUGCCAGGAUUGUUUUCAAUGAGUGACUGUUAUGAAACAUUUAUUUAUUUUUUAUUCAUUAAGUUCGCUGGUAUCCUUUAGGUAUGCAAUAUGAUGACAUUCAUCAUUGGGAAUUUGUACCUGUACAUAAUAUAUCUUGGUUCCUAUGUUUUCUCCAUUCCCCUGCCCGCCCUCCAACCCCUCCGACUCUCCCUAGGAAACAUUUAAUUUUUAAGCAUUUUGAAACAUUUGGUAUUAAUUCAAAUGAAAACAAAGGUCCCAAUAAAUCAGCUCUGUGAAUGUUUACAGUUACAUAACCAUGGAGCCAUACAUGUUUGCCAC